UGACCCUAUCCAACUUUAAAAAGGUCAUCCAUCUUUUGUCGUCGUCGUCUUCUACAUCUUCUUCCUCUGUUCCACCAUCAUGAUCUCCGACCAUCACACACGGGUAGAUUCGCAAAACAAAGAACAAAGUGAAAUCAGGGUUUGUGGAUUGAUUCGUGGACCAGCCAUUCUCGAGCAAGAUGUUUUGCUUCUUUCAAUCAUUUAGAGAAAUGAAUCUUCAGAUAUAAUUAAGGUCUGGUUCAUCCAUACGAAAGGCCAUAGCUAAGGUCAGUCACUAUUCGAGUGAAACUGAGAUAAGAGUGAAUUCUGAGUCAAGGCAAAAAGGUAUUUGGAAGACGUGAAAGCUCCCAAGCAAGUUAUCCCCUUCGCACGCUUCUGUCGUGGUGUUGGACGUACUGAUAUGGCAUUCCAACAAUCAAGGUAGCAAGGCUGUUAAAUCUACUCAGUUGGUACUUGAUUUCUCCGAGGUAACUUAUACUGAGGUCAAAGUUUUGGGUUUUGAUGCCUUUUUCAUAUCGCACAUCAAAGUGAACCAAGCAGCAUAACAUAGGCAGAGGACGUAUUAUAAUACCCUCGUACAUGUCAAAACCAUGCCAGGCUGAAUUGAUUUUGUCAGAGAAAUAAUCUGUGAAGAAAGAGUUAAUUUAUGCGCCUCAAUGCGCGUAUGUAAUCCUGAUUUUCACCAUCAUCAUUGAUCUUUUACUUCUCAUGCCACUUUUUGUUAUAUAUUAUUUUGUAGCUGGAAACUGGAAAGUCAGUUGGCAGCGAAGUCAAAGAAUGGAACUUUAUUGUUUCUUGAAUUAUAAUCAUAUACUUUACAAGACAUGAUGAUUGGUAUUGGAUGACCCGAGCUUUAAUCUA
Long non-coding RNA from Brassica napus (rape), 861 nucleotides. RefSeq lists it as uncharacterized. The record is from RefSeq and is a predicted model, not a curated record. Lineage: Eukaryota; Viridiplantae; Streptophyta; Magnoliopsida; Brassicales; Brassicaceae. The transcript has 4 exons.